RNAcentral lists this long non-coding RNA (335 nucleotides) under Bos taurus (domestic cattle). RNAcentral's name for it is "long non-coding RNA NONBTAT002839". The record is from RNAcentral. Lineage: Eukaryota; Metazoa; Chordata; Mammalia; Artiodactyla; Bovidae.
AGAAUUCUGCCUUUUCUGACCCUGCUCUCCUGAUCUUUCUCCUACUUCUGUACUGUCUCAGCCUCCACAGACGGGCAGACUGGUCGGUAGGUCAAUCCAACACAGACUCAAAGUCUGCCUCUGCCCUCACCUCCUUUACUUGAGGAAUAGUCAUGUGCUGAUGACUUCCUUUGCCAAGCCACCUUAAUGUGCUGGCUUAAAGCACUGAUAGGAGGGACGCACUUUCUUUCAUUGAUAAUUAUCAUCCAUAAGGAAAGCCAUCUCAAGGUGUCUAUUUUUACUGCUGCUGUUGGUAAGAUUUUAGUUUGAGUUUCAGGGAUGAGACAGACUCAUUU